This 323-nucleotide ribosomal RNA is filed under the name uncultured eukaryote. RNAcentral describes it as "partial 18S ribosomal RNA". It matches the Rfam family "Eukaryotic small subunit ribosomal RNA", at positions 1470 to 1796 of the family's 1831-position model. The record is from RNAcentral.
CCCCUAGAUGUUCUGGGCCGCACGCGCGCUACACUGAACAGUUCAACAAGUCUUAACCUUGGCCGAUAGGUCUGGGUAAUCUUUGAACGCUGUUCGUGAUUGGGAUAGACCUUUGCAAUUAUGGGUCUUCAACGAGGAAUUCCUAGUAAACGCAAGUCAUCAGCUUGCAUUGAUUACGUCCCUGCCCUUUGUACACACCGCCCGUCGCUCCUACCGAUUGAGCGAUCCGGUGAAUUAUUUGGAGUGUCCACGCAAGCCAAUCCGUUUACGUGGGUGCGAAAUUUUGUAAACCUUAUCGCUUAGAGGAAGGAAAAGUCGUAACA